AAAAUUUCCCAGGUCUGUUAAAGCACUAUAAAAGCAGAAAAAGGGGAGCCAGGGAAGGGCUGACAGAUUGUGAAAUUUAAGGGAACACCAGAAAAACUGGUAAUCAAAUAAUAUUUGAAUGUAAUAUUUUAAAACAUAAAGAUUAAUGCAAGAAAUCCAGGAGGAACAAAAUAAGAGUCAUGUGUAGCUUAACAACAGGGAAAGGUCUGAGGAAUGCGUUAUUAGGCGAUUUUGUUGCUGCGUGCACACCAUAGAAUGUACUUUCACAACGUAGAUGGUAAGGCCUGCUACACACCUAGGCUGUGUGGUGUGGCCUGUUGCUUCCAGGCUGCAAACCUGAACAGCAUUGGACUGUACUGAAUAGCAGACCAUUGUAAUACAUGGGGAAAGUACAAACGCAGUCCCCCACUACCACAAAUUAUGCAGUCGAGUUUCCCACAUUUGGAGAAAUCGCAGGGGUCAGCACAUCCGGAGUGCAAUGGAUGACCCUUACCCUGGGAAAACCACCUUCGUGAUCAUGGCAUCUCCCCUGUCAGAGAGAAACCAAUCAGCUUCAUUUGCAACUUCUUCUAUGACUCCAGAGGAGUCACUUUGCAUCUUGUGACAAAUGAAAAUAUUACCUGGAAAAAAAAAAUCACAGAAUAGACGAGUUGCUGCACAGGGGGAAAGCAAAGUUCCCAGGAGUAAGAUAUGCAAGAAGGAAGCCCACCUUGCAUCUCGGGUUGAGUUCCCUAGACUAUGUGCUUGAGGGGAAUUCUCCCCUUGCAGACACACUGCUGAGUGAUAAGGAAGCACCUGGACUCCACUCUGACCAGACCUUGGUUCUGAGGCCUAUGAAAUGAGAAGAACAGAAGCAAGAAAAUCUGUCUAUUCAAAUCUGCAAGAGGUGGAAACUUUUAUUCACCUUCCUGGAUAGACUGUUCCUUCGUAAAAGUAAGGCUAAGGCCGUGGAAAAUGAGCUAUGCGAGAGUCUGUAGCUCCAGGGAAGAACGCGCUGGCCUAAUUGUCCCCUCAGUCAGGAGAGCGAAUUGUUAGAAAAACAAACAACAAAAAAAAGAACACUUAAACAGGCCUAAGUAAAGGUCCAGUACAUUAUUUAUUUAAGACUGAAUUAGGACUGAGUCAUUCCAACUCUGAAGAAAUAGUGUUGCUGAAUUCUCAUAUAUUUGAUGGGACUGCCCCAUUGAAAACCAUUGUGAAUUCUGGUUUCCCAAGCAAGAAAUGACACUCACUGUCAAUCUUUCUAGGAAUCUGGCAGAAUCCAGGACCAGGAUCACCCUUAUUUAUAAAGCGACCUUAGACUAACCAUGGCUCUCUGGGCCUCGAGACAAUUGGCCAUGGACUUUGAAGACCAGAAAUAAAGUUGAGAGAACUCCAGGCUGAUGGAUGUUGGCCGUUAUCACCAGAAUGUGCCUCAUAGAAGCAACAAACCAGAGAAGAAGGUUCUUAGACAAGGGCCUGUGGGCCCUGUCAAGAUCUGAAGGAGUCAUCUGUAACUCAUGGCUGAGUGAGAGGACUAGGCAGUGUUUUUAAGGUCCUGCCAGCUUUAAAAUUGUAUGCCUUCUUGUUUUGUUCAAUCUCUCAUCACAACUGAAAGUGUUGCCUCAACUACACAAAAGAAAGUUUGCAGUAACAUAGAGAAGACAUUAUUUAAUGACCAGCAUAUGUUCUCCAGCUCCCUGAACAAAUCGGUCAGCAGCAGCGACACUGAGCAGGUGCAGACUGGGGCCGCUGCAGUGGAUGUGGAUCCAUUGAAACCAGGGUUCUCUAGUGCUCCUGACUCCUCACAGCUCUGUUCCUAUGACAAGGAUGGUCAGCAGACCCAGGAACCUUAAGGGGGACCUUUUCCUGGUCUCCUCCCCGCCUCCUAAGAGGGAGUAUACAGAAGCAGCCACCUGCAGCUGUGAUGAAUCCUAUAAUAAUUACAUAAAUCAUUAACAAUACUU
This is a non-coding RNA of Callithrix jacchus (white-tufted-ear marmoset), 1946 nucleotides long. NCBI's taxonomy places the organism in Eukaryota, Metazoa, Chordata, Mammalia, Primates, Cebidae. The record is from RefSeq and is a predicted model, not a curated record.